GUCCAGAUGAUAAGUCCCAAAUAAGAUGAAAUGCGCAUCCUGGAU
This 45-nucleotide non-coding RNA is filed under the name Trichobilharzia regenti. Lineage: Eukaryota; Metazoa; Platyhelminthes; Trematoda; Strigeidida; Schistosomatidae. The record is from RNAcentral.